RNAcentral lists this long non-coding RNA (415 nucleotides) under Coffea arabica (coffee). RNAcentral's name for it is "long non-coding RNA (CARA_LNC000537)". The record is from RNAcentral. Lineage: Eukaryota; Viridiplantae; Streptophyta; Magnoliopsida; Gentianales; Rubiaceae.
AUGGCGGCGGAGAGUAAAAAAUAGCCAAGGGAGAACGAAGUGAAGAAAAAAAGCCACGAAAAAACAGAGCAAGGCAGGAGCAACAGAAAAGAGGAAAAGGGGGAAAAUCUGGAAUUUGAGGAGAGGGACUUCGGGGUCAAAAGAGGGAGAGAGCAAGAGAGGUAGGAAAAAUCUGGAAAAUAAAGAACAAAAGGAAAAAAAAAAGAAACCGAACCAAAAGGCAGAAACUGAGGAGGAAUUUGGGGCAAGAAGGAAAGGGAAAAGAAGAAGAGCUUGGGCGGAAGAGUUGAAUCGUGUGGUCAGCACUUGAAUCCACCACCACCACCUGCGAAUUCACCGAGAUUAGCACUGUAAACUUUCUUUUUCUUCUCUAAUUUUCGAGUUUCAGUGUUGGAUUGUUGAAGCUUUUAUUGUU